Molecule: unclassified non-coding RNA, 351 nt
Filed under: soil metagenome
Description: partial contains 5.8S ribosomal RNA, internal transcribed spacer 2, and large subunit ribosomal RNA
Rfam family: 5.8S ribosomal RNA (bases 1-120)
Source: RNAcentral
GAUGAAGAACGUAGCGAAAUGCGAUAAGUAAUGUGAAUUGCAGAAUUCAGUGAAUCAUCGAAUCUUUGAACGCACAUUGCGCCCGCCAGUAUUCUGGCGGGCAUGCCUGUUCGAGCGUCAUUACAACCCUCAGGCCCCCGGGCCUGGCGUUGGGGAUCGGCGGAGCCCCCCGUGGGCACACGCCGUCCCCCAAAUGCAGUGGCGGUCCCGCCGCAGCUUCCAUCGCGUAGUAGCUAACACCUCGCAACUGGAGAGCGGCGCGGCCAAGCCGUAAAACACCCAACUUCUGAAUGUUGACCCCGAAUCAGGUAGGAAUACCCGCUGAACUUAAGCAUAUCAAUAAGCGGAGGA